CUGGAAGAAAGGCGGGAGGUAGCUCAAGUUCGAAUGACAGCCUACAGACAGAAAGUCGCUCGCUAUUACAACUCCCAGGUCAAGAACAAAGUCUUUAGAGCAGGAGAUCUAGUGCUUCGACGAGCCGCUGUCUCGCAACCUCAGGAUCGAGGGAAGCUCACCCCAAACUGAGAAGGCCCGUAUGAGGUCAAAGAAGUAGUCCAGUCCGGAACU
RNAcentral lists this long non-coding RNA (213 nucleotides) under Elaeis guineensis (African oil palm). Its description in RNAcentral is "long non-coding RNA (EGUI_LNC066436)". Lineage: Eukaryota; Viridiplantae; Streptophyta; Magnoliopsida; Arecales; Arecaceae. The record is from RNAcentral.